AGAAAUUAUGUUUAGAUGAAAACUCUUUUUUAUUUUUUAUUUAAGGGAAAAGGGCAAAAAAAAAAAAAAAAAAAAAAAAACUAGAUUGCGAUUGGUCUCCAUUCUUCGGAAACCAAACCUGUGCCUAGACAAGAUUCAAAUACCAAUACUUUUUCUUUCCGUUUCUCGAAUUUUCUCCACAACCAAACAGAUGAAAACCUAGGGCUUUGACGUUGUCAUCGGUGAAGCUGCUCAACCCACUCUUUUCCUGAGCGCGUGAGCAUCGCUUACCUAUCUGACGGUGUCUCGGGCCUCGUUACUCAUGGCCGACGAGUAGCAUCAUCGCAAACCAAAAGAGCGCGUGGAAUAGGGUGGAGGAGAGAGAAAAAGCGCAAGAGAGGAGAGAGAAACGUCCGGAUCUGUUCGUGCAUCAGAGUGUCACUUUCUAGGGUUUUUCUGUCCAGGAUCGAAACCCUAAUUCGGAUCAUCCUCUAAUCACCGAUUUUCCCUUUAGCUCGGCUAGUAAACUGCUUCUUUGCACCAUUUCUAUCCGAAACUAUAGUGCCGUACACGUUCGGAUCCGCAUACCGGAGAUAUCUGGGGUUUUUUAGCCGUCCUUAAUACGUCUGUCUCUGGGGCGCCGGUGAUCCGAAAUCCUUGCUGUGUGGAGAAAUCUAGGGUUUUGCUGGAGCUCCAGCAUUUGAUUCGUUGCAUGUAUGUAUGGCUUCGAGACCAUUAGGUAGUGAUGAUUCUAGGGAAAAGCAUCGGUGGCCUGAGAGUAACAAGGUCUAUACGCGGAAGCUCCACAACAAAGUCCUGAAGAACACAAACAACGUCAACACAUCCACUGCCGUCACCGCCAACACCGCCAACAAUAGCAAGAACAGCAACAUCAACGCUGCCCAGCAGUCUUCGCAAACCUUAGCGACGACUGAAGAUGGAAAAUCAUCACAGCCACAGAUCUUAUCACAGUUCGAUGCAGCCUCCGACGAUUCAUCGAGCCUUGAUCGGCCCCACGCUGGGCCACCAAACGGCUAUGAGCUACCCAAUGGAAAUGGAGUGAUGGGUUUAGUGAAGGUGGAUAAUAGAAUCAAGAUUAAUAAUUUGUUGGUGAGGUCGAAGAGUGAGAUUAGGGAUAUAAGGAGGAAGCUGGUUGGAGAGCUUGAUCAGGUGAGGAGCUGGGUGAAGAAACUUGAAGGUAGGGAGGUUCAGCUUAGUGGUUAUUCUGGUGUUGGAGGGUACAGUCAUUCUCAGGUGUCGGCAAAUGAUCUGAUAGAGAAGGGAGGAAGUGGGUUGAGGGGGAACUCUGAAGUGGGUUCUGUGGGACCACGCAAUUCGCGACCAUUUCGAGAGCUUAGUGUUUCAGUAAUGGAGAACAGCCAUGGGGUUAGUGAAUCUGCUGAGAAAGAGAAGAGAACACCAAAGGCUAAUCAAUAUUAUCGGAAUUCAGAAUUCUUGUUGGGAAAGGAUAAAUUCCCACCACCAGAGAGCAACAAGAAGUUGAAGUCUAAGAAACAUGGGGGAGAAGGGGCACAUGGGUUUGGGAUGGAUAAGAAUAUGAAUCAAGUGUUUAAGAGUUGUAACACUUUGCUAGCAAAAUUGAUGAAGCAUAAGCAUGGUUGGGUAUUUAAUGUACCGGUGGAUGUGAAGGGGCUAGGUUUACAUGACUAUUACACGAUCAUUAAACAACCAAUGGAUUUAGGUACGGUUAAGAGUAAGCUUAGCAAGAAUUGGUAUAAGUCACCUAGGGAGUUUGCAGAGGAUGUGAGACUUACGUUCUGCAAUGCCAUGACAUAUAAUCCAAGAGGGCAAAAUGUUCACAUCAUGGCAGAGGCUUUAUUGAAUAUGUUUGAAGAGAAGUGGGCAGCCAUCGAAGCAGAAUAUAAUCUUAAUUGGAGAUAUGGUGUGGGUCGUGAAGUGAGUUUACCAACUCCCACCUCAAGGAAGGCUCCCCCUCAUCUACCACCGCAGCCUCGCCCAGAAACAAGAACACUGGAUAGGUUGGAAUCUAUGACAAUGCCUGUUGAUUCCAAGUUGAAACCUGUGAGUUAUGCUUCAGUAGGUAGGACACCUGUCCCAAAAAAACCUAAAGCCAAGGAUCCCCAUAAAAGGGACAUGACCUAUGAAGAGAAGCAGAGGCUCAGCAUGAACCUUCAGAGUUUACCCUCAGAGAAGCUUGACAACAUUGUGCAGAUCAUUAAGAAGAGAAAUUCAGCACUUUCGCAACAUGAUGAUGAGAUCGAAGUUGACAUUGAUAGUGUUGAUGCAGAAACACUUUGGGAACUCGAUAGGUUUGUGACCAAUUACAAGAAGAGUUUAAGCAAGAACAAGAGGAAAGCUGAACUAACUCUUCAAGCUAGAGCCAAAACUAGCCGCACCCAUGAAACUAACCUAGCCCCAGCCAUGGUGGAACUACCAAAAGAAACUAAAACAGAUGAAAAGACAGUUUCCACUUCUCCUGGCCAAAAAGAAAAGCAGGGGGAUAAUGCAAGUCUUUCAAGUAGUUCAACCAGUUCCAGCAGUGAUUCUGGAUCGUCUUCAAGUGACUCUGAUAGUGGCAGUUCCUCUGCCUAUGGAUCAGAUGCGGGUCAUUCACCUGGGUCUCAAAGGAGUUAGUAAGUCCCAAUAUCUAUUAUUUUUGUGCUCUUUCAAAGAACAACUUCAACAGCAUGUCCGACUCCAUGCCGUAGAGGCUGUCAUGGCCUGCCGUGAGAUUGAGCAGACCUGAAAGGCUAUCACUGGCGAGCGGUGGCUCGUGGCGGACUACGGCGACUCGCAGAUGGCCUUCGUUGACUCGCAGAUGGGCUUUGGCGACUCGCAGCAGGGUUGAGGGAAAUUCGGAGUUUUGGGGAUUCUGCCUUAGGAUUUUUAGGGAAACCUUUUCUGCGCGAAGAAUCAGAUGCAGAAUUGGGGUUUUCUGGGCAAGGUUUUUAGUGACGGUUUGAAAGACGUCACUAAAACCCACAAUUAGCGACGAUUUUUAAAAAACUGUCACUAAAACACAACUAUUAGUGAUGAAAAUUUGUCCCUAGUAGUCAAUAAAUCGUUGCUAAUAUUUUUGUGUAAUGGUUUGAGCGGGAUACCUACUUUUAGUGAUGAAAGUAUUAGUGACGAAAUUAAAAUCAUCACUAAUACUGCAUUUUCCAUGAUGGUUAGUAGUUUCGUUACUAUCCUAAUUAUUAGUGACGAAUUUUAUUUUUGUCACUAAUGAAUCAUUAUUAGUGACGAUUUUAGCUCUGUCACUAAUGCCUCCGUCACUAAAAAAUCUUUUUUUUUUUUUCUUGUAGUGCUAGUCGACCACCUUGUACAAUUUUCCUUCUCUCCUUAUUUCAGCUUAAUUCUUGAAUUGUGCAGUUAAAUUAUGAAACAUUUGAUUAAAAAAUAGCUGUAAGAGAUAGAUACUACUUCAUGCGCAA
Molecule: RNA transcript, 3395 nt
Organism: Malania oleifera
Lineage: Eukaryota; Viridiplantae; Streptophyta; Magnoliopsida; Santalales; Ximeniaceae
Gene name: transcription factor GTE4-like
Exons: 6
Source: RefSeq, a predicted model, not a curated record